UUCUUGCAUAUUCAUUACUUAAUUCUAAUGUUAUAAUAAGUAUUUAUGCUUUAAACAUUAUUGAUGCUAAGAAGACUUGUUCUUCUUACGUUUCCUUUUUGUGAGAUGCUUAAGUGUUUAUCUUAUAAUGUAGUUUUAUCAUGAUUACAGGUGUUGCAUGGCUGUCUUUAGUUCGUGUUGUGAAAUGUUAGGUUAAUUCCGAAAACGAACGCAACCCUUUUCUUUAAUUAUCUGUUGUUUCUUGUUGUAAUAAUUUAUACUUGAUUCUUAUUAAAGAUAUGUCUGCCGAUAUGGUGGAACAAUUAGGAUGAAGACAAGUCCUCAUGACCCUUAUGAAGUGGGCUACAGACGUGCCACAAA
Molecule: ribosomal RNA, 360 nt
Filed under: Pneumocystis carinii
Lineage: Eukaryota; Fungi; Ascomycota; Pneumocystomycetes; Pneumocystales; Pneumocystaceae
Description: partial small subunit ribosomal RNA
Rfam family: Bacterial small subunit ribosomal RNA (bases 68-344)
Source: RNAcentral